CACAACCUUCAUUUUUAUUUUUGUCAAGGUUAAAUUAGGCCAACACAAACUUUAAUCAAUGUAGUGGUUGUACAUAUAUAAUAGGAUUGGUGAGUAUGGGAUGCCAGUUGAAUAUUUUUUAUAACCUCUUGCUACGUAUACAUGUUGAAAGACAUAGACAGCCCAAGCAAUCGUGUUAUAGGGCUGGUGUGGGUGUUUGGAACAUCAAUGCCGGGUAAAUUUCACUCGGAUUUUAGAAUUUGAAGUAUAUUUUUAGUUGUUCGAAUUCUAGAAUCUAAUCUGGGAGAAUACAUAGAUUUUUAGUUGCCUCGCCG
This 314-nucleotide long non-coding RNA is filed under the name Trifolium pratense (red clover). RNAcentral describes it as "long non-coding RNA (TPRA_LNC011185)". The record is from RNAcentral. Lineage: Eukaryota; Viridiplantae; Streptophyta; Magnoliopsida; Fabales; Fabaceae.